AUGCCGCGGUGAAUACGUUCCCGGGCCUUGUACACACCGCCCGUCACACCACGGGAGUUUGCAACACCCGAAGUCGGUGAGGUAACCGCAAGGAGCCAGCCGCCGAAGUGGGGUAGAUGACUGGGGUGAAGUCGUAACAAGGUAUCCGUACCGGAAGGUGCGGAUGGAUCACCUCCUUUCU
Molecule: ribosomal RNA, 181 nt
Filed under: Brevibacillus agri
Lineage: Bacteria; Bacillati; Bacillota; Bacilli; Caryophanales; Paenibacillaceae
Also listed under: 1 other name
Description: partial 16S ribosomal RNA
Rfam family: Bacterial small subunit ribosomal RNA
Source: RNAcentral